This 498-nucleotide ribosomal RNA is filed under the name uncultured bacterium. Its description in RNAcentral is "partial 16S ribosomal RNA". It matches the Rfam family "Bacterial small subunit ribosomal RNA", at positions 30 to 523 of the family's 1533-position model. The record is from RNAcentral.
AUUGAACGCUGGCGGCAUGCCUUACACAUGCAAGUCGAACGGUAACAGGUCUUCGGAUGCUGACGAGUGGCGAACGGGUGAGUAAUACAUCGGAACGUGCCUAGUAGUGGGGGAUAACUACUCGAAAGAGUGGCUAAUACCGCAUGAGAUCUACGGAUGAAAGCAGGGGAUCGCAAGACCUUGUGCUACUAGAGCGGCCGAUGGCAGAUUAGGUAGUUGGUGGGAUAAAAGCUUACCAAGCCGACGAUCUGUAGCUGGUCUGAGAGGACGAUCAGCCAGACUGGGACUGAGACACGGCCCAGACUCCUGCGGGAGGCGUCAGUGGGGAAUUUUAGACAAUGGGCGAAGGCCUGAUCCAGCAAUGCCGCGUGCAGGAUGAAGGCCUUCGGGUUGUAAACUGCUUUUGUACGGAACGAGAAGCGCCGGGUUAAUACCCUGGGGUCAUGACGGUACCGUAAGAAUAAGCACCGGCUAUCUACGUGCCAGCCGCCGCGGUAA